AACGAACGCUGGCGGCAUGCCUAACACAUGCAAGUCGAACGAGACCUUCGGGUCUAGUGGCGCACGGGUGCGUAACGCGUGGGAACCUGCCCUUAGGUUCGGAAUAACUCCCCGAAAGGGGUGCUAAUACCGGAUAAUGUCUUCGGACCAAAGAUUUAUCGCCUUUGGAUGGGCCCGCGUUGGAUUAGCUAGUUGGUAGGGUAAAAGCCUACCAAGGCGACGAUCCAUAGCUGGUCUGAGAGGAUGAUCAGCCACACUGGGACUGAGACACGGCCCAGACUCCUACGGGAGGCAGCAGUGGGGAAUAUUGGACAAUGGGCGAAAGCCUGAUCCAGCAAUGCCGCGUGAGUGAUGAAGGCCUUAGGGUUGGAAAGCUCUUUUACCCGGGAUGAUAAUGACAGUACCGGGAGAAUAAGCUCCGGCUAACUCCGUG
This 433-nucleotide ribosomal RNA is filed under the name uncultured bacterium. Its description in RNAcentral is "partial 16S ribosomal RNA". It matches the Rfam family "Bacterial small subunit ribosomal RNA", at positions 29 to 507 of the family's 1533-position model. The record is from RNAcentral.